This 252-nucleotide ribosomal RNA is filed under the name uncultured bacterium. RNAcentral describes it as "partial 16S ribosomal RNA". It matches the Rfam family "Bacterial small subunit ribosomal RNA", at positions 524 to 776 of the family's 1533-position model. The record is from RNAcentral.
UACGGAGGAUGCGAGCGUUAUCCGGAUUUAUUGGGUUUAAAGGGUGCGUAGGCGGGCUUUUAAGUCAGCGGUAAAAAUUCGGGGCUCAACCCCGUCCGGCCGUUGAAACUGGGGGUCUUGAGUGGGCGAGAAGAAGGCGGAAUGCGUGGUGUAGCAGUGAAAUGCAUAGAUAUCACGCAGAACCCCGAUUGCGAAGGCAGCCUUCCGGCGCCCUACUGACGCUGAGGCACGAAAGUGCGGGGAUCGAACAGG